Molecule: ribosomal RNA, 264 nt
Filed under: uncultured Neisseriales bacterium
Lineage: Bacteria; Pseudomonadati; Pseudomonadota; Betaproteobacteria; Neisseriales
Description: partial 16S ribosomal RNA
Rfam family: Bacterial small subunit ribosomal RNA
Source: RNAcentral
UACGUAGGGUGCGAGCGUUAAUCGGAAUUAUUGGGCGUAAUAGCGAGUGCAGACGGUUGUUUAAGCCAGAUGUGAAAUCCCCGAGCUUAACUUGGGACGUGCAUUUGGAACUGGAUAACUAGAGUGUGUCAGAGGGAGGUAGAAUUCCACAUGUAGCGGUGGAAUGCGUAGAGAUGUGGAGGAAUACCGAUGGCGAAGGCAGCCUCCUGGGAUAACACUGACGUUGCAGGCUCGAAAGGCUGGGGAGCAAACAGGAUUAGAUAC